UAUUUAAAAGUAACUUAAAAAUAAGAAGAGUUGCAUUGGAAUAAUUAAAAUAAUAUUUGCCAAUUAAAGGCAAGCAGAUUCAGAGGAAUAAUUGAAAUGUCAGCAUAUUAUGGAGAAGGAAUAUGCGGUUACUGGGUUGAGACAUUAAAUAUCUUAAUUAAUAUGGCUAACAAGUCAAUACAAUAAUGAUUAUUUUAAAACCUGUAUACGAUACAAAACCUUACCAAUGUAAAGUAGUCCUAACUUACCAUGAUUACAUCAUUUUCAGGACUAAAAAAAUAUUCUCAAAAUACUUGACCAAGAGCAGAAUAUCAUAGAUACUCAGAACAACUACAGUAUUUGCUGGAACAAACGUAUAAUUGUUAAUAUAAUUAGAAAAUGAUGUUAACUAAAAACUGCCUAAUUACUCACAGAAAUUAAACCCAGCACUUUGAGGACAUAGCCAAAAGGCUAGGGAAAGGUGGUUCAUUUGGCAGAGCUGCAGGACAGGUCGUAUGCCAGAAUUGCCCUGCGACUGGCCCGUUUCACAGAGGAACACAGCCAAGCACACCAGGUAUGAUACGUUCCCUGAACCUUGCAGAGUCCCCUCACCCAGCCUGUCACUCAUGCCCACUGAGGUGUAAUAUGUAAUGGUUUCUGUUGUUCGAAGUUUUCAGGUACAUAAAUAGCUGCCUUUCUCAGCACAAGUAAACAGCUGCUGUUACCUGCUCUCUUCUAAUUAAAUGCUUCCCACUUCAUUUCUACUCUUCCAGUUGAGAUAGAAGAGUGGAAAUCAAAGAGAAGCAAAGAGGAAGGUAGUAAAUAAAAAGGGGAGGAGGUAUACAGUGAUGGAAAAUGCAGAAAUCAAAGGCACAAAACAAACAUAUAUCCCAAUUUAUAGCUAGGCGAUAGGAAACCUGCCACCAUUAAAGUCAGUGGUAUUUUCUGAAGUAUAUUUUAAAUUGUUAGAGUGGGAAGACACCUUCUGCCCUUCCUUAGUAUGUUAUUUCAGCAAGAUCUGUAUGCCUUCAAAGUAUUAUUAUUUAAUAAGAUACAGCACAGUGUUUUCAUACUCUAGUCACUACCUAUAAAGCUUGAUACUAACUAGAAGUCAAAUACAUCAAACAUGAAUAUCAGCGUCUUAGUUUCAACUGGGAUGGAACUGUUUUCUUCAGAAUGUCUGGCAUGAUGCUGUGUUUUGGUUCUAGGAGAAAAACAAUGUUGAUAACACAAUGAUGUUUAUAGUUGCCUACUGAGCCAAGGCUAGUCACAGUGAAGGACCUGAGGAGCUGGGAGAGAAUGGAAUUGGGACAGCUAACUUAAGCAAGCCAGAGGGAUAUUCUGUACCAUAUGAUAUCAAGUGGAAAGAGUUUUGAAGGGGUUGGGAGUUUGUGAUCUCUCUCUUUGCUGCUCGGGGGGCUAGUUUGGCAUCAUUUGGGGAGUGGUGAGCAAUUACUUGUGCAUCACGUGUUAAAUAUGUUGUGGUGGAAGCCCCAUUCCUGGAGACAUUCAAGGUCAGAAUGGGAAGGGCUCUGAGCAACCAGGUGUAGCUGUGGGUGUCACUGUUCUUUGCAGGGGACUGGAUGACCUUUAAGCGUCAAACAAUUCUAUAAAUCUGUGAUAAUGCAAUGAGCAUGGAAUGUGUGUUCUUCAGCUUUUCUCUGUGAUUGACCAGUGCCAGAGAAAAGAGUAGAAAGUGUUCAAACUGGGCUGCAGGUUGGAUCAAAGAGUACAAAUGUGUUGGCUCAUCUUACUCUAGUUUAGAUGUCAUCUAGAAGUCAUUCAGAUAGAUAACACAACCUUCAGAUACAAGAAAAUACGGUGACAAUUAAUUCAUCUACUUCAUUACCUUUUUGAUAUGUUAUAUGUCAGAGCAAAGUCCACCAGAGUGAAAUAAUGAAGAAGCAGUUUUGCUGCGCUUCUACAUUUGAGAUAGUGUGUUGGAGCUGAUUUAUUCACCUGAACUUGAGUAGCAGGCAAAGUACAACUGUAGAGUAUGAGCUCAUACAUUCGUGUGCACUUGUUUCUUUGUCAAGCUUCACUGUAAGAGCUAUGGAUGGAAAUUCAUCCAAAAUCAAGUCCAGAAUUGCUGAAGUGAAUUCUCCAGUGUAUGGGAAUAUUCAUGGUACUAGAAAGGCAUGGGAUUGAGUGUUGUUUGAAAUCCAGAGAGUUGGAAGAGCUAGUGCUCCUGAUUGUGCCAGUUUGUCCAUCAGUGCCUCUGCUUCAAUAUUAUUCACAUACAUGGGGAAUAAGCAAACUUCAGUUCUGAUGGAUGUAAGACGUCCUUUUAAGGUAUGUCAUUACAUUAUUUUCUGUUACGUUUUGUUACAGAUAAUUAGGUUGUUUUAGGUACAGUGUAAGUGAUACAACACAGGGCUCCAUGUCAGAACAACCACCGGCUGGAAGUACUGUGAAGCAUCAGGAAAGGGAGAUGCACUUGAAAGAUGGAAGAAGCCAUUUUUGACAGAGGCUCUCACUGAAACCAGGUGUUUCAAUACCUUUCUCCUAAAAGAGAGAGGACUGUACUAAAGGUCAUAAACGUUUCCAUUUUCAGUUGCAGUCUGUAUUAUAGCUGUGGAUUGUUGCAGGAGGGCUGAUUCUGAAGAAAGAUGCUGUUGAAGAGUUCAGCGGGAUUUGUUCUGAUCUUCCUCUCCCAUUGCACUGUGCUGGUGACCACCAAAGAGGCAGUGAUCUUGGCUAAUGCCCACCUUCUGUCUCAAAGAGAUUAUGAUAGACUGGCUAACAUCAAUGAUAAAGACUAUCUAAGGGAUUGUUUUGAGAUUUUUCAGCACUCCAGAGGAAAUUCCGGAGAUGGUCUUUACGUCAUCCAUCCAAAAGAAGACCCAAUUGUUGUCUCUUGUAACAUGCAGGAUGGUGGCUGGACAGUAAUCCAGCACAUUACAGCCAACAGUACUGUCGACUUUGAUAAAACGUGGCACGAUUACAAAUAUGGGUUUGGCUCUGUUCAUGACAACCACUGGUUAGGAAAUGAAUACAUGCAUCAAUUAACUGGCGGCUCUGUGCAAUAUGUACUUGGAGUUAAACUUGUAGACCUAAAUGCUGAAAUCAAAUGGGGACAGUACGAACCAUUCUGUAUUGAAGAUGAAGAAGCUCAAUACCGAAUCAAGGUUGGCCUAUACAGAGGCAAUGCUACUGAUGCUCUAACUCUGGACACAGAAGCUUACCUCCACGACAACCAGAAGUUCACCACCAAAGACAGAGACAAUGACAAUUACUUUCAGAAUUGUGCCAAACUAGAACACAAUGGUAUUCCUGGGGGAGGCUGGUGGUAUGAUGCAUGUGCUGGGGCAAAUCUAAACCGUAGGAACGUGAUAUACUGGCAAAAGGACUGCAGCAAGAAGCAUUUAUGCAAGUUUUCAUGGAUGAUGGUCAAACCUGUUGAACACAGCCCACUGUAUGCAACUAACUGUUGUCCGUGUCAGAAGGAGGAACUGUAGAUUUUCAGUUGCAGAAACUCAGGCAACAGAUAUUGGCGAAGUUCUGCUUUUUAAUUAAAAAAUGGGAUCCUGUCACUGCCAUGAAAAUUAAUUUAGAGACAAAUAAACUGUACUGUGUUUAGAGAAGACCAAGACUGGCAUGAUUACUUGAGAAAUUAAUUGGAAAAUGGAGAAGUCAUGAAAGAAAAUUCUAUUUUUUACAUUGCACUGUAACACUUUCAGAAAAAGAUACAGGUAAGUUGUGCAGGUGAGGCCAAUAUAGUGUAUAUGCAUAUUUUGCAGCAGGUAAUGUUUUGCCUUCAAAUUGUGAUUAAAAAAAAGAAGUAUAAUAGAGCAAGAAGUGAAUGAAUUUAUGAAUUGAAUUGAUGUAAUCAAGUCAAAUAAUGUGGAUUCUGCUGCAACUGCAUCAGGAGACCUCCAAAGGUUGUAAUGAAGAUACAAGAAAAUUGCUGUCUCCCAUAGCUUUUACCCAUCAAGUUCCCAUCUAGAUAGACAGAUUCUAACAUUACUACCAAAAAACAGCACAAAUAAUCUUGACAUGGAAACAUCCAGCUGAAAGCCAGCAGGCUGUAUCUGAUCCUCAAAGGCAAAUAACCUGCUCUGCAGCUCGCUCAUCCUGCUUGGAGGAUUUUGGAGGAAAGGACCUGUGGAAUACGCUCCAUGAACAGUUCAGGCAUCACCAGCCCAAAUCCAGCUGUCCACUCUCUAGUGGAGGCACUCUCUAGUGUAAACUGGAGUCCUACAGACCUCUGCUGACACUGAAUUCCAGUAUGGGAAUUAGAUUAGCAUAUAGUAAUAAAUGGUAUUGAUAGAUCUGCAGACAAAAACAUGACAAACAUUAACAGUUCAAGCACUGACUUUAAUGGAAGUCAUGGAGUGUGGUAUGUUCCAUGCUUCUAAAUGAAGAAAGAAUGGAAACUACUCUAAGAGCUGGAUUGAGGAUGAAAAUAAUUAGGAAUAUUCCAAUCCACUCAUCAACACUUCUUUCUUAGAGCUUUCAAAGAGAAGGACGUGUUGUUUUGGAGCUCAGGUUUGGAAGUACAUUUCAAAUGGAGAAGCCACUGAGUAUACAGAAAAUGGUAACUCCAGCUCGUCUGUUACGAACAUCGGAGGAAAGUCAUUUGGUUUCCUAAUACCCAGGUGACUCCUUCAUGUUACUCCUAUCUCUAUAGAAAGUAAAGAAAAUUAAUCCCAGAGGUAAAUUACAUAAUUCAGUUUUUUUUUUUUUUUUUUUUUUACUUUGUUUUCCUAAAGCAAAUAAUCCAGAGCGAGUAGAAGUGCCUAUGUCAGAGUAUAAUAUCACAGAGUAAUUUGAGGAAAGUGAUGGCCAAAUAUUCUUAUUCGAUAUGAAGAUUUUAGAAAUCCCAAACUGUGAAGGGCUGAUAGGAAACUGUUUCCUACUAAAGAUGGACUCCUGUAUGCAACUUGGAAAACAGGAUCAGUGGCAAGUUUGUCCUCUUCUUCUGAUGAUGCAUAGCUGCUGCAGGUGGUCAGUUGGUCAGCCUUAGCCCACUCAGUGCACGUGCUCACUGCCUGGGAUGCCUUCACUGUAGCUGAUGUACUUCGACUGGAUGAAGACCAGGAAGCCUGACAUCUCUCUCUUUUGACUAAGUUUUGUUGCUUGCAACUGAAGCAAGACUUCAGGAAAGCUUUUCGAGGCUUUAUCGUCUCAAAUUCGGCCACAGACUCAGAACCCUGAAGUUCAGCGAGGUCCUUGGUACGUUUCUCAGUCUCUUUGUAGAUGCGGCAAUAUAAAAUGGUCAUCACUGACACUGGAAUGUAAAAAGCAGCAAUUGCAGUACCAAAAGUGAUAAUGGGCUCGUAUAAAAAUUGUAUCUGGCAUUCCUCAGGGGGUACUGUUCGUUCACCCACAAAAUACUGCCAGCAUAAUAUUACAGGUGCCCAUAGAAUGAAGGAGAUUAGCCAAGCCAGGCUGAUCAUGAUGCCAGCUCUUUUGGGCGUGCGUUUAGCUCUGUAUGUCAAAGGCCUUGUGAUGGAAAAAUAUCUGUCAAAGCUGAUGACUAGGAGGUUCAUGACUGAAGCAUUGCUAGCUACGUAAUCCAGCGCUAGCCACAGGUCACACGCCAGGCUUCCAAGAGACCAAUGGCCUAUGAGUAUAUAAGAGGUAUAGAGGUUCAUAGAGAAUAUUCCAAUGAUGAGGUCUGCACAGGCAAGACUGAGCAAGUAAUAGUUGUUAACAGUUUUGAGCUGACUGUUAACCUUGAAGGAUAUCAUUACAAGAACAUUUCCCACUAUGGUUAUUAAGCUUACAAUUGCAGUUACAGUGGCAAUAGUAAUAACUUCCCAGAGGCUGUGCCCUUCUAACUGUUUAUGGUUGAUGGAUGAACUAUUUAUAACAGUAGAAUUGCUGAAUAGAUUUACUUCCAUUCUUUUUCUUGAUCAAUGGUUAUCAGAAUCUUAGCACUCUUGCAUAUUGUUUUCUGUAUAUCUUUUGGAGGCAGCUGUAAAAAUAAAAGGAAAAAAGAGAAAAAGAAAGCAGCUCAUUAAAUAGCACGGACUUCCAUUAGGUAUACCUUGAAACACUUGCAAAGCAAUCCAUCAAAUUAUUUGU
Molecule: RNA transcript, 6009 nt
Organism: Lagopus leucura (white-tailed ptarmigan)
Lineage: Eukaryota; Metazoa; Chordata; Aves; Galliformes; Phasianidae
Gene name: fibrinogen-like protein 1-like protein
Exons: 7
Source: RefSeq, a predicted model, not a curated record